GAGUUUGAUCAUGGCUCAGAUUGAACGCUGGCGGCAUGCCUUACACAUGCAAGUCGAACGGCAGCACGGGAGCUUGCUCCUGGUGGCGAGUGGCGAACGGGUGAGUAAUGCAUCGGAACGUAUCCUGGAGUGGGGGAUAACGUAGCGAAAGUUACGCUAAUACCGCAUAUUCUGUGAGCAGGAAAGCGGGGGACCUUCGGGCCUCGCGCUCUUGGAGCGGCCGAUGUCGGAUUAGCUAGUUGGUGAGGUAAAGGCUCACCAAGGCGACGAUCCGUAGCAGGUCUGAGAGGAUGAUCUGCCACACUGGAACUGAGACACGGUCCAGACUCCUACGGAGGCAGCAGUGGGAAUUUUGGACAAUGGGGGCAACCCUGAUCCAGCCAUGCCGCGUGAGUGAAGAAGGCC
Molecule: ribosomal RNA, 405 nt
Filed under: bacterium enrichment culture clone ALO1_GLFRUDD03FMCUK
Lineage: Bacteria
Description: bacterial SSU rRNA
Rfam family: Bacterial small subunit ribosomal RNA
Source: RNAcentral